Molecule: long non-coding RNA, 4721 nt
Filed under: Sus scrofa (pig)
Lineage: Eukaryota; Metazoa; Chordata; Mammalia; Artiodactyla; Suidae
Description: lncRNA (ENSSSCG00000053333.1, ENSSSCG00090015002.1, ENSSSCG00105008889.1, ENSSSCG00110012821.1)
Source: RNAcentral
UUGGGCUAUGUGUUUGUAGUGACAAUCGAAUAGAGAGUCUCUGAAAUUCUGGGCAAUUCCUUUACAUAAAAUAAUUUUGAAAUACUGGAUAAACUUUAUUUUGAAGGAGAUGAUAUUCAUCAUCUAUGUAUAUAUGUAUACAUGCAAGUAGCAUGUAUCUCUCAUCUGUAUCCAUCUAUCAUCUAUUAUUAAUCUAUUUAUCUCUCUAUUCUUUUUAUUCAGUAGUUAGCUGUGGUGUACUUGACCUUAGGAAUUUUCUGUUUUCCCUCCAAUAUGGUCAAGGCCUACUUCUUCAAACCUUUCUAGAUCUGGGUAUGUGGUUCAGUGUUUGGUUUUCAAAAGUCUUCUCCAUAAAUAAAGUCAAGUAAAUCUAAGUAAAUGAAAGGAAUUCUUAAGUCAACAGAUCUGGAAUUAGUAGAUGUUAAUGGUCAAUAGUGAUUGCCUAACACAUGAAUAAAACAAGAGAUUUGAAUGGAUGCUAUCAACAAGCUGAGAAUGAAUCAAAAUUUACCAGACUGCAAUCUGAAAUUUGUGAGGUUUCACCAAUAUCUUUAUUAUUUCAGUUGAUCUUAAGUGAGUAGAAAAAUAUACUAGAAGUCUUACAUUGUGACUGCUUUUCCCUAUGUUCCUUUUGCUGUUAAUGAUCUUUAUUCUAAUCAAUAAGAACUCCCUUAACAUUUAAAUUAUAAUUUCAUAGGGCAUCAACAAUUUCUAUCUUGGAUGCUAAACAGGCAUCCUUUAUUUUUUCCUAAAGUGCUCUAUGAUUACAUUUUUCUAUUUUUAAGGAAUAAACAUGUAAAUAAACGAGAAGUUAAUGUUAGUUGAGGUCAUAGAAAGUUCUUGUGCUAAAUUGGAAGAAUAAAGAGGACAUUUCCCAAAGUACUUUAUCCUCACAUUCUGUGACUGUGAUUAUUGACUGAUCUAUCUCCAUUAUUGUUAAUAAAUAAUGAAGGGACUAUGCUUACAUUUUAGAAAUAAGGAUUUCCCAAUAUUUGAAGUUGUUCUGUGCUUUACUGCUUGUUUGGGUUUGCAGAAAUAGAGUAGACCUCUAUCUAAAUGUGCUAUUUGGCAAAUGUUUAUUAUAGUACAGAUUUAAAUUAAUUUCAUUUGCAUGUAAUGACAUUAUUGGAGAUUUCCUCAUGAGUUAUACAGUGCAAUACAGAAUGCUGUUUAGGAAUCAUUAGCUCAGGAAGGAGAAGAGAUAACAAGUUAUGAAACUAGUAUUAUUCAAAUUAGAUUUUCUUUCAAAAAUUCGUAAAUGGAAAAGAAAGAGUCUAGUGUAAAAGUUGAAAAAUAAAGCACUUGGCCAUUUCUUAAACCUUAUCCCUGAAUAUUUAUGUUAUUUAAUUUUGAACUUCCUUUAUCUUCAGCUUCCAUGCAUGUCAACAUUUUUUGGAUGGCAACUUUAUGUCAGUUAUUAGAGACAUGAAGAUAUUAAAGAAGAAAGAUAAAUUGUUUUCUUUAAACAAUGGAUUGUUGGACAGUAGUUAAAGAACUAAAUCCAUGUGAAUUAAGAAAUAAAUCUAAAAGGAAGUAAAUCACAAAAUAAUGGAACAAUAUGCUACCAUUAUGCAAAAUUUUAACACAUAAAAACAAGAGUAUAUGCUGUUUAUGAAUUAUACAUAUAUGGAGAGAAAGUGUGGACAUCUAUUUGGAAGUAUAGAGAAGGAAAUUAUAAAAGUAAGAGGUUGUCCAAUUACAAAAUACUUAGUAAGGCCCAGAAUGGAAUUCAGACAAUACCCUGAGGUUCACAGAGUUACCGAAGGGUUUUAAGUAUUUGAGGAAAGAUGCAGGGCCAUGGUUGGCAUGAUUACAUAAACGUUUUAGAAAGAUCACUUGUGCUUCUGUGCGAGGAAGAAGGAAUUGGACAGGGAUAAGAUUUGUAAAACAGAGACCAGUCAGGAUGCAGUGGUACUAAUCCAGGUGAGAGAGGAUUGUGGCCUGAAACAGGGUAGUUCAGUGAGAAGGAAGAAAGACAGUUGGCAAAUUUGAAAUACAUUAGAGAUUUGAUAGCAAGGAACUUGAUCAACUUGAUUUGGUGGGUGUGAGGGGUAAGAAGAAUGUUUCCAGCUACCUAUGAUGGGAUCAAUCUAAAUCCGACUGUUUACCAGAAAUACAGAGGAUGACAGUAUGUGUUAUAUCACACCGGGGAGAUGUAAAAUUGGCCAAAUUCGGACUGUAAUCCGUAGACCACUCCACACAAAAAAAUCUCCCAAGGUCUUUGAUGAAUAUUCUGCUAGGUGGGAAAAUGAUGGGGAUGGAAGGAGGAAUUUAUAGAAUAGUGGUUUUCAGCUGCAGGUGAUUUUGCCCUCCAUGGGACAUUGGACAGUUUGGAGAUAUUUUUGGUUACUACAAUUUAGGAAAUGCUACUGGAAUCAAGAUAAAGGGCUAGGAUGAUGCUAAACAUCCAAUUACCUAGGACGGUCUCCUAUAGUAAUCAUCAGCCCCAAGUAUCAGUUGUGCUGGUGUUAAAAAACUCUGCUAUCACAUGAUUACCAGGAAAGACAUAUCAACCAAAUGCAAUUUAUGGCCCUUCACAGUGUAUUAAACUAUGUUUAAAUAAUUAACAUUUACUAACAUACGUCUGAAUACUGACUGGAUAUUUGAUAAUACUAAGACAUAGUUAUAUUUUAGAUGUGAUAAUGGCAUUAUUAUAGUUUUUAAAAAGUCCUUGUUUAUAAGAAGUAUAUAUUAAAUACUUAUGAAUAAAAUUAUAUAGUAUCUAAGUUUUGCUUCAAAAUAAUAUGGAAGAAGAUCAUAAAUAGAUGGGGACUAGGAUGUUUAUUAGGAUUGGAUGAGGGUAUGUGGAGACUUGUUACACUAUUUACAUUUGUGUAUGUUUAAAAAUGUGUAUCAUAAAAAUAAAUGACUCCCGUUUUCUACUUUUCAUGAUCUCAUUCACUAAAUGAAACAAAGAAGUUAAAUCAUUAAAUAUUUAUCUUUUCCUCCUCUUUCUCCUCAUCCUCCUCUCCUUUUUCUUUUUUCUUUUUCUUUGCAGUUGAUUUAAUGGUAUAGAUACUUUAUUAAAGAAGGGUUGAUUGCCUGUGACAAUUUCUGUUGUAUGUAAAGCAACUCUGUCACAUAUAUAUGUAUAUAUAUGCUGUAUGUAAAGUGACUCUGUCAUAUAUAUAUGUAUGCAGUUGAUUUAAUGGUUUAGAUACUUUAUUAAAGAAGGGUUGAAUUGCCUGUGACAAUUUCUGCUAUAUGUAAAGUGACUGUCAUAUAUAUAUGAAUAUAUAUGCUGUAUAUAAAGUGACUCUGUCGUAUACAUAUGUAUAUAUAUACUGUAUGUGAAGUGACUGUCAUAUAUAUGUAUGUAUAUGCAAUAAGCUUUGCUAGGAUAUUUAAAAUUUUUCUUCAUAUCAUUAAGCACUUUAAAUAAUGCUUCAUAACACAUAUUGUACAGAUAUUAUCAUUUACUUAUUUUUGUUUAAAAUUAACAUAAUAAAAUAAUUACGUGUAUGUGCAUGAAUCUUAUGAGGAGCUCUAAUUAUUUGCUGAAGACAAAUUCUUAAUGUGGAGUUACUGAAUUAAAGAUACUAAAGCUUAUCAAGUUAUUAGUACAGCCUACAGUCAAAUUUCUGUCCCAGUUUACAUUCUCAAACCAUUGUGUCAAGUAAAUAUUUUGUUAAUUCUUAUCUCUAGUUGCUGUCAUUUUAUGAACUAUUUCAUAAUGAAUGAAGUAUAAUAAUAUUAUAUUUUAAUUUGUAUUAUUUGGUUUCUUGAUAUGAUUACUUUUUCAUAUAUUUAUUAAUCAUUUAGUUUUUUUCUCUUGUCUCUGUCAAAUCUAGAUAUUUGUCUUUUAUGUUAAUUUUUUAUUUGUUAACUUAUAUAUUUUAUUUAUUUUAUUUAUAUGAUAUAGUGUGAUAUUUUAUUAUAUGUAAAUAUUUGUCAUUUGGCAUGAUAUUAAGACUAUUCCACUUUGGUUUUUAGGUCUGGGUGUGAUAAAUUUGGCAUGUCAUAAUUAUUGAUAUUAACCAGCUAAAAUAUAUUUUUCUCUUUAAUAAUAUGCUAUUUUUUGCCUUAAAAUUUAUUACUAUCCUAAUAUCAUCUUAUUGUUUUUAUUGUAUUUUAAUAUAGCUAAUUCUAUUUAGCUUUUUUUUUUUUAAGGGUUGCACAAUGCAGCAUAUGGAAGUUCCCAGGGUAGGAGUUGAACUGGAGCUAUAGCUUCCAGGCUAUGCCACAGCCACAGCAACCCAGGAUCCGAGCCGCAUCUGUGACCUCCACCACAGCUCACCACAACACUGGAUCCCUAAAUCAGUGAGUGAGAUCAGUGAGUGAGGCCAGGGAUUGAACCCACAUCCUCAUGGGUACUAGUUGGAUUCCUUUCUGCUGCACCACAAUGGGAACUCCUAUUUAGCUUUAAAUUUACUUAAAUAUAUGCUAUGACCUUUUAAGAAAUAUUCUAGCCCUAAAUAUUAAAUGAUUCAUUGACUUAUGAUACACAGUGUUAUCCUAAAAUACAGUAUGGUAUAUAUAUUAGGAUCUGUUUCUGUGUAUGGCAUUCAAGUUACUUGCCAAAUUGUGUAUCUAUGUUGAUAUAUUUUUAUUAUUAUAUUAUUUACUAACCACCAUAUUUUUAUAUACUAUAUAUUAAAGUGUAUUUUAUACUAUGUAUUUAUAUAUAUAGUAUGCAUUUAUAUAUAAAGUGUUUUAUACUGUAUAUAUGUUUAGAAUAUUUUAACAUUGUCAUUAAAAUUAAAUUUUUUCUAGACUCUUUU